CCCUUAGAUGUUCUGGGCCGCACGCGCGCUACACUGAUGAAUUCAACGAGCUCCUAACUUAGGCCGAAGGGUCCGGGUAAUCUUUGAAAUUUCAUCGUGAUGGGGAUAGAUUAUUGCAAUUAUUAAUCUUCAACGAGGAAUUCCUAGUAAGCGCGAGUCAUCAGCUCGCGUUGAUUACGUCCCUGCCCUUUGUACACACCGCCCGUCGCUCCUACCGAUUGAAUGGUCCGGUGAAAUGUUCGGACCGCGACAAGGCGGACGGUUCGCUGUCAGCUUUGCUGCGGGAAGUUCAUUAAACCUUAUCAUUUAGAGGAAGGAGAAGUCGUAACA
RNAcentral lists this ribosomal RNA (330 nucleotides) under uncultured eukaryote. Its description in RNAcentral is "partial 18S ribosomal RNA". It matches the Rfam family "Eukaryotic small subunit ribosomal RNA", at positions 1470 to 1796 of the family's 1831-position model. The record is from RNAcentral.